CAACCAUUCAUUAACCCUGGGCACAGAGUGACAUUUGCAGUUUUUAUGACAAGGUUUUCUCAACUUAAAGUAUAAGCUCAGGGGGAAAUAUUUUUGACGUAACCCUGAAGGUAUGCAGUCUUCCCUGCAAUGAGUCCUGUAUUGAGACUGUAAGAAGAAUGUGGUGGCGAAGAUAUGAGGUCUUUUUAUCUAUUGUUCUGUUGUGCUGCUGGGGACAGAACCUGGCCGCGCACUUCUGCAGGAGGAGCACAUGCCUGAGCACCGAGAAUACCACCAGCUGCUUUUUUUUUUUUUAAAUGAAAUAAUUUACUAAAAAUCUUUGUAGUUGCUGUUUGUUUCUGGUC
This 344-nucleotide long non-coding RNA is filed under the name Mus spicilegus (steppe mouse). Its description in RNAcentral is "lncRNA (ENSMSIG00000023514.1)". The record is from RNAcentral. Lineage: Eukaryota; Metazoa; Chordata; Mammalia; Rodentia; Muridae.